Molecule: transfer RNA, 72 nt
Organism: Toxocara canis (dog roundworm)
Lineage: Eukaryota; Metazoa; Nematoda; Chromadorea; Rhabditida; Toxocaridae
Rfam family: tRNA
About the family: Transfer RNA (tRNA) molecules are approximately 80 nucleotides in length. Their secondary structure includes four short double-helical elements and three loops (D, anti-codon, and T loops). Further hydrogen bonds mediate the characteristic L-shaped molecular structure. tRNAs have two regions of fundamental functional importance: the anti-codon, which is responsible for specific mRNA codon recognition, and the 3' end, to which the tRNAs corresponding amino acid is attached (by aminoacyl-tRNA synthetases). tRNAs cope with the degeneracy of the genetic code in two manners: having more than one tRNA (with a specific anti-codon) for a particular amino acid; and 'wobble' base-pairing, i.e. permitting non-standard base-pairing at the 3rd anti-codon position.
Source: Rfam
CGGGCAGUAGCUCAGUGGUAGAGCCCUCGCUUCAUAGGCGGGAAGACCUGGGUUCCAUUCCCGGCUGCUUCG